CCGCCCGUGAGCGCAGGAGCCCCCGGCGGGCCCCACCCUGGCUGUGCGUGUAGUAGAUCGUGCCGGCCUGAGCCCCCGCUCCGCCCCCCCGCGACUAGACAUGUGGAUGUGGCAGGCAAGCUGUCAAUUUUUAGGUUAAAAGUGGCUCUCGGAGAGAUGGUCCCCUGCAUGCCAGAAGUAUCAGCCAAGGCCUCGGUGUAGGUAGAAGAGAUUCCCACCUGCAGGAUCUUCAACGGACAUUUUUGGAAUUACAAUACCCGCCUGGUAACAGAUCAACAAAGCCAGAGUGAUAUCAAGAGAUAACCUGCUGCAAGGUUCAUUGACUGCUGGAAGAUGCCCCAAUGUUAUAUCCCAUCAAGCAUCAGCAAUGUCCUUCUCUCUACAUCAGAGGAACAGACCCCGUUCGAUGGAGGCUUGUUGCUGCCCAAGAUCACCCUGAAGUAAAAGCCCCAAUGACCAAGGAAACAUCCAAGUAUUUUUUAAUCCAGACAGUGACUCACCUAUCACCGUUACCUACAACACUUGAAAAACAGGCGACUUACAGGCUCUGCUCACCUGCUACAGUGACCACAUGUGCAUCCUGCCUUUAUUUGCAUACAUCCAUUUACUUUAGCAAUGAACCCAGGGACCAGCAUCUGGAUAAAUCACACAUUUAGCUGUACAUGUCCUGAAUGUAACCUGAGAAUUAUUCAACAUGUGUCAAGACAAAUAAAGUAUACAUUGUACACAGAUUA
Molecule: long non-coding RNA, 734 nt
Organism: Sphaerodactylus townsendi
Lineage: Eukaryota; Metazoa; Chordata; Lepidosauria; Squamata; Sphaerodactylidae
Exons: 6
Source: RefSeq, a predicted model, not a curated record